CAAUGUUGUAUCUCUCGUCCCAUUGCUGGUCACAAGCAAGUCUUAAAAAGCAAACAAACUGAAAGAAACUCAUGCAAACCUUAUCACAAUAAUAUUUUAAAUAACUGCGAGAAAUAUGUUCGUGAUGAAAUAACCGAUAAGAUCGUGACCGUGUGGGUCACUUUAGUCGAGUAUCGCAGUGCUAUGGUAAGAGUAAGACAGAACUUGGCGAAUGGUAAAUGUGGAUCCCCUUUAUCCAACUGCUGCUGGAUCAGAGUGAGCGUCAACAUCUUUUAUAUAAAACCCCUGUUGCUUCUCGCUGAAUGUAUUCGCUUGAAACCAAGUUGAGAACUUGCGGUUAGUGCAUCAACAUACUCAGUAAUUAAUUCCACCAAGUUUGGUAGCAGAUUAGAGAUGGCCUUGUUUAACCUGUUAAAAGUUAUGUGGAUCACCGCGGCUUUAAUAACAAUGGCAGCAGUUUCGUCCGGGUUAUCUUUGCACAAGCUCUCCGCAAGCCUCAGUAACGUGCGAAAUUUGGAUGAACAAAUACGACUCGCAUACAAACCGGAAGCUGAAGAAGCUUUUCGUCCGGGGAGGUUUUUGGUAGAUAAUUCCAGCGACGAUGAUUUCAUCAGAGAAGACAGAACAAUAAAAUUUCCAAAGCUAAUGCGUACGACGACUUCUUAACCUGAUUCCGACUGACUGGUAAAAGUGCGGGAAUAACCAUGCGUUGUAUCGAUAAACGACCAGCGGAGAAAUCCGCAAUUGUCUGGUGAAUCAUGAGUGACCUGUUGGGUUACUUAAUUUUGUGUUGUUUAUUGUGUAAUAAUAUUUAUUUUAUUUA
This is a long non-coding RNA of Zophobas morio, 823 nucleotides long. RefSeq lists it as uncharacterized. The record is from RefSeq and is a predicted model, not a curated record. The transcript has 2 exons. Lineage: Eukaryota; Metazoa; Arthropoda; Insecta; Coleoptera; Tenebrionidae.